UGGUCAAUUAACAUACAUAAUAUAUAGAAUGAUAUGGUAUAAUGUGAGGGUGAAUUUAUUAAUAUAUGAAAAGGGUAGCUCCAUAGUCAGGAAAUGCAUUUAAUAUAUUAAUGGAGGGAUUCAUUGCUGUCCCGUGUCCACUGGCUUGCCAGUUGCCAACCAUGGUUGACCCAGUUUCUCCCAAUUAGCAAGUCUUAUUGAAAAAA
Molecule: long non-coding RNA, 206 nt
Filed under: Brassica rapa (field mustard)
Lineage: Eukaryota; Viridiplantae; Streptophyta; Magnoliopsida; Brassicales; Brassicaceae
Description: long non-coding RNA (BRAP_LNC007274)
Source: RNAcentral